AAUACUGGAUGACUGCAUUCAUGUGUGGACUACAGAGAAAAAAAAAUGAAGAAACUAGGAGAACUAAACCACAACAAAGUCUAGAAAUGACUGCAGAAUUGAGACCACUAGAGCGGGAGGAGAAUGGUAGAAACAAAGUGGAGAGAGGCCCAAUGGUGGAUGAUAAAGGGAUACAGGGAAUGGAGUGGAGCCUGACAUCAAAGACUGGCUCCCAUGAGUGAGGACAACUGAGGCCACAGGUUCUUGGGGCAGGAGCUGGCAGAACCACCUCUUUCUUAUUAUCUGUUACCAGGUAUGGUAGGUUGAAGAAUGGCCUCCAAAGAUACCCAGGUCCUCAAUCCAAAUCCCUAAAUGGCAAAAUAGAUGUGAUUAAGGGUGAUUACCUCAGUGAUUCAAGCAACACAAAUAUCAUUAUCUUAAAGUUCUGAAGAGCCCAAGUUCAACACAGGUCUCUCCAGGCCUGAUUCCGUUUUGAUGGAAAACACACCCAGUGCGUAGUUCAGAAGGCUACAGAAUUGAGAGCUAUUAAAUACUAAAAAGACAAGGUGAGAAAC
Talpa occidentalis (Iberian mole) is the source of this 554-nucleotide long non-coding RNA. RefSeq lists it as uncharacterized. The record is from RefSeq and is a predicted model, not a curated record. The transcript has 4 exons. Lineage: Eukaryota; Metazoa; Chordata; Mammalia; Eulipotyphla; Talpidae.